RNA transcript from Abrus precatorius (Indian licorice), 2849 nucleotides. It is a transcript of the gene named dof zinc finger protein DOF3.1-like, with no coding region annotated. The transcript is spliced from 2 exons. The record is from RefSeq and is a predicted model, not a curated record. Lineage: Eukaryota; Viridiplantae; Streptophyta; Magnoliopsida; Fabales; Fabaceae.
AGAGAGAGAAAGAGAGAGCAUUUUCUCUUUCUAUUUGAAGGCUGAGGACUGUGGUAGUCGUCACUCGUCACACUCACGCGGACUAAGUGAUAGAUCAUCUCCAUCAACAUUUCCAGACUCUACAAACAUCUUUAACCUUUUUUUGUGGUUUUCUCGAAUAUUGUUUGCUAUCUUCGGAACUCAGUUAAAUCUGUGUUUUUUCAGCGAGUUUCCUCCAUACAAGUGCAAGAGCAGACAAGGCAAGUUCCAAGCUCAAUCAUCAAUCACCUUGCUUUUUUGCACUUAUCCAUCACAACAUGUAACUUUCUGUCUGUUUGAGUUUUUCUUUAUCUUAAAACAACCUUGUGGAAUCGGUUCUAUCUAGAUCAGUUUUUUUGGAUUUUGGUCGGUUCUACUAAAACCCAUCUCAGGGUCCGAAUAAAUAUCCUUCCUUUUUGUCUUUUUUCCACUUUCUGCUCAGUUGUAGCUUUAGCUGUACCCUUUAUGCACUUCAAAUCUUCAACACAAGUUUACACCCCUCAUUUUCCUUAAGCUCAAUUAGAUCUUAAAUGCUUAAUUAUUGAACACCAUUUAAUAUCCUCUUUUUUUAUUUAAAUUUUUUUAUCAUUUAUUUCUCCUCCCAAAAAUCUUACACAUGCCCUCAAAUUCAAUCCAUUGAAAGGUUUGAACUUUGACGUCAAGUUGAUCAAUUUUCCACCGUGACAAAAGAGUGCUUUUGAGAUAGAAGAGAAUGCAAGACCCAACGGCAUUCCAACCCAUCAAACCCCAUUUUCCUGAACAAGAACAACUCAAAUGCCCACGUUGUGAUUCCACCAACACCAAAUUCUGUUACUACAACAACUACAACCUCUCACAGCCACGCCAUUUUUGCAAGAACUGUAGAAGGUAUUGGACCAAAGGAGGCGCUUUGAGAAACAUUCCUGUUGGGGGUGGAAGCCGAAAGAACACAAAACGGUCAUCCACCAACGCCAAACGCUCUGCAUCAUCAUCAUCAUCACCUUCUCCAUCACCAUCAGUUUCCACUGCGGCCCAAGGUGGGAGUGCUUCAGAACCCGACCCGACCCGGGUUUACACCAACCCGGUUGAUCAAGAGCGGAGGGUGCUUGUUGGUGGGGGUUUCAGUUCCCUUCUGACAUCAAAUGGGCAUUUGGGGAACCUUCUGGAGGGUCUGAAUUCAAGUGGUUCGAAUCUGAAAACUGUGCAAAUGGAAAAUUUUGGGGAGAAUGUGAGUUCUGGCCCACUGGUGAAUCCGGGUUCUGGUCGGAAUCCCGGUUUGGAAAUGCAGAGUAAUGGCAGUGCAGAGAGUUUUCUGACUAUGCAAAAUGGUGAUUCUAGUUGUUGGAAUGGAAGUAAUGGGUGGUCCAACCUUGCAAUAUACACUCCUGGGUCAGGUUUUCAGUAGAAGCAAUGAGAGAAACUUAUGAAAAAAAUGAAUCUUUUUGGCUGAAUCAGCUUUACAAUUAUGCUGAUUAUUCUGAUCAGUAUAUUUAGACAUGUUGUGAAAAGGUCUAUGUGUAUAGCCUAUUGAAUAUUUUGAUGGAUAUCAAGUUGUGAAGGAUCACGAACCAGAAGGCUAUUACAGUAGCAUCAAUUAGGUAGGGAAUGGAGGUUCGUUGAAUUUGGAGAUCCAAAACUGCAAUACAUAUAAACCUUCGUAUACUUUGUGUACAUUUUCAAUGGAGGGUCGACAAGGUUCAAAGGAAAUAAUAUAUUAUGCAUGUUUGUUUUUUAUUCUCAAGUAUGCAACUAGAUUUUGUUUUUCUCCCACCGAUUACUCUCUCUCCAGUAUUUAGAAGAAUAUUCAGUGGAUUUCUAUCAUAAUAUGUGGGGAUUGUGUUCGUUCUAGAUAUGGAACAUUUUGUGAGACAACCUACCAAUAUAUCUCUCAAAAGAAACCACCAAAGUCGAGCCUCUUUUACCCAAUUACUAAUUUCAAGUUGAGGUAGUUGUUUGAUUGAUCAAUCAAGGUGUGUUUUUGCUCAACUCAUGUGUGAUGAUCAUCUUCAUUCCAAUCACCUUGCUCUCGUGGAUCACAUACUAUGGUGUGUUUUUUAAGGACCACCCAGUUCCAUCUUUAGAUAUCAUUUACUACCCAACACAUGCGUUCGAUUGCUAGGUCAAUUUGACAAACUGAAUACAGAAAAAAUCUCGUAAAAAAAAAAAGCAUUUAUUGCUUCAAGUGAGUUUGAAUUUAAGUUGUGCUACCCAAUUUAUCCCCAAGUUCAACUUAAUCAGCCACAUUUGCAAGCUACUUGUAUGAAACACGUGUAUUUUUUUGAAUCAAAUGGACAAACAUUAAUUGCGGCCUAUAAGAGUUGAAAUUGCUUGGCAAGUUGAAUGAGAAGAAGCAAAGUCUUGGUGAAUUACAAUUCUGCUUUCAAAGAUAACUGCUAUAUGAUUUGAGCCUUGACUUUGUCUUGUUGAGUUGAAUGGUGACCACUUAUUGCUAUACACGUUAUCACAGAAGAGUCUACAUCUUCUAUACCAAAAGAAGAAAGAAAAUAUUCUUAUAUAUUUUCUUCGUCUAAUUAAUGUAGUCAACGUCAACUUUAGGAUAAGUUUGGUUCUUUAGGUGGGGUUGCUGUUGCAUAGUUUGGUUCAUCUAAUUUAAUGACUUUCCUUUGAGUUUUAGAAUGUCAUGCUCAUGUUUAGCAAAAAUUACUCAUUUUUUUAUUUUGACUUUUGUACCUGUUAAAAGGAAUAAUUAGACGAAAUUGUGGUGAAGUGUUUUCUUUAAUUCGAAACAAUUUAUCUCUGUUUACCUUAGCUUAAAGAGAUAUGAGAGAGAUGAUUUAUUUAUAUUCCGUGUUAAAAUCAUGAAAUAUAUAUAUUAACAAAACUUAGAAGUU